CCCUUAGAUGUUCUGGGCCGCACACGCGCUACACUGAAGGAGGCAGCGUGUACUCCUGGAUCGAAAGAUUUGGGUAACCCGCGAAUCUCCUUCGUGCUAGGGAUUGAGGUUUGCAAUUAUCCUUCAUGAACGAGGAAUUCCCAGUAAGUGCAAGUCAUAAGCUUGCGCUGACUACGUCCCUGCCCUUUGUACACACCGCCCGUCGCUACUACCGAUUGAGCAGUCCGGUGAAUACUUCGGACCGUUUGCAUAGAUGGUUCGCCAUCUUUGCGAAUGGAAAGUCGAGUGAACCUUACUGCUUAGAUGAAGGAGAAGUCGUAACA
Molecule: ribosomal RNA, 323 nt
Filed under: uncultured eukaryote
Lineage: Eukaryota
Description: partial 18S ribosomal RNA
Rfam family: Eukaryotic small subunit ribosomal RNA
Source: RNAcentral